This 59-nucleotide ribosomal RNA is filed under the name Lactarius subumbonatus. RNAcentral's name for it is "partial 28S ribosomal RNA". The record is from RNAcentral. Lineage: Eukaryota; Fungi; Basidiomycota; Agaricomycetes; Russulales; Russulaceae.
UUGGCCUCAAAUCGGGUGAGACUACCCGCUGAACUUAAGCAUAUCAUAGGCGGGAGGAA